Molecule: unclassified non-coding RNA, 373 nt
Filed under: soil metagenome
Description: partial contains 5.8S ribosomal RNA, internal transcribed spacer 2, and large subunit ribosomal RNA
Rfam family: 5.8S ribosomal RNA (bases 1-120)
Source: RNAcentral
GAUGAAGAACGUAGUGAAAUGCGAUAAGUAAUGUGAAUUGCAGAAUUCAGUGAAUCAUCGAAUCUUUGAACGCACCUUGCGCUCCUUGGUAUUCCGAGGAGCAUGCCUGCUUGAGUGUCAUGAAUCUCUCAAACUCUUAGUUUCAUUACUGAGUGUUUGGAUUUGGAGGUCUAUGCUGGCGCAAGUCAGCUCCUCUUAAAUACAUUAGCUUGGGUCUUGCAUGUCUGGAUCCUUGGUGUGAUAAUUAUCUACGCCAUGAUGUCCCUUCAAGCCCUGCUUCUAAUCGUCUGAAUAAGACAAUUUAUUACUUGACAUCUGACCUCAAAUCAGGUAGGACUACCCGCUGAACUUAAGCAUAUCAAUAAGCGGAGGA